UCAGCUCAUUGCAACCUCCACCUUCUGGGCUCAAGCAAUCCUCUUACCUUAGCCUCCUGAGUAACUGAGACCACAAGCAUGCACCACCAUACCAGAAUUUGCUCUAUCCUCAACGUUGCAAAAUGUCUGGGCAUAGGCUGUGUUGCAUUUCUCACGUACAGUAUGAGCAGAGAAGCUUACCCAUUCUGUUGCAGCAGGUCCAGAGAAGUCUCACUGAAGUGCUUUGGUUUUUAUUGAAUUGCAUGCUUAUUAUGUCUGGACAAGAAGAUGUGUACAUGAAGAGGAUGUUUUGAUAGGCCUGACCUGAGAGCUGUAUGCUCACAAUAAAAGCUAGAGACACAGUCAUUUGACAUUAAAACAACUGAGAAAAGAUGAUGAAUCUUGAGAAGAAAUUGGGAUAUUAUGUACAAAAGAGGCGUUAUAAUACUUUAUGGCCAAAACGAAAACAAAAGAAAAAAAAAGCAAGAAAACAAACAAAAUCAAAAAACAAAAAAACUAGCAAUGUUCCACCAUAAAGUUUAAAUGGAUCUUACUUUGGUUCAGACUUUAGAAACGAUUGACAUCUGGGUUAUGUAUAUUUCACUUCCCACGUUCUGCACGGUAAUCUUCUAAACUUUAGCAACUUAUCUUAUUAAUUCCUUUAGGCUUGAUAUGAAGCCUGCCCCAGAUAAGUGCCUCAUAAAAGAAGAAUAAACAAAUGAAUGAAUAAAAGCAAAUGCCAUACUAUAGACUUUUGAGUAAAAAGAUUUUCUCUACAACAUAUUAAAAGAAUGAACCAGCAGAACAAACUUCAAACUUUAAAACAAUGUUGUUUAAGUUAGUCAUGUCUGAGAUGAUAAAUAAAUCAACAGGAGAAAAGUGAACUUCAAAACAUGUAUCUUUAGGAGGAUUUGAAUUGGAAAACCACUGACACUUAAUUGCUAAAGUGACUUUGACUAGUUAUUCAUCUAUGGAAUAGGAAGAAAACUUACUUGAUCGUGUUGGCAUGAUGAUUAAACAUGACUUAUGUACAUGCAAGUGCUGAGCACUAGUCUAUAACCUCUAUGGGCAUUGCGAUCACUAUGACAUAUCCAGAGACUAGCUCAAUUUCUAGUACAUUGGAGGCACUUGAUAAAUGUUUCCUUAAUUUGAAAUCUGAGAACAGGACAUUAAGUUCUUUCACAUUAGAUCCAGCAGUUGAGAUACAUUUUGCUUGUGCUGCAGUUUUCUAUUAUGGAUAUGUAAUGUGUCUAAUAAAGAAAUGAGAA
This 1247-nucleotide long non-coding RNA is filed under the name Homo sapiens (human). Its description in RNAcentral is "HSALNT0378328". Lineage: Eukaryota; Metazoa; Chordata; Mammalia; Primates; Hominidae. The record is from RNAcentral.